Molecule: non-coding RNA, 65 nt
Organism: Dipodomys ordii (Ord's kangaroo rat)
Lineage: Eukaryota; Metazoa; Chordata; Mammalia; Rodentia; Heteromyidae
Source: Rfam
GGUGGCUCAGUGGUAGAGUGCUUGCCUUGCAUGCAUGAGGCCCUGGGUUCGGUUCCUCAGCACCA